Molecule: long non-coding RNA, 294 nt
Filed under: Monodelphis domestica (gray short-tailed opossum)
Lineage: Eukaryota; Metazoa; Chordata; Mammalia; Didelphimorphia; Didelphidae
Description: lncRNA (ENSMODG00000031199.2)
Source: RNAcentral
AUGAAGAAGUUGAAUACCCAAGAGGUUAAAGACUUGUCUACAGUCCCACAUCUCUUAGAUCUGAUGGGUCCUGAUAUGAUGCCUUCAGCCUCCUCUCCCGCAGACUUCUGUGCUCCUACAGGCUCCUCCUUUGUACUAGACCACUUCGUUGCAGCUACAAGAGAAAACAAGAGAAAUCCAUAAACACAUUCUUUAAUAGGACUUGGAUUUCUAGAUUUCCACAUUGAAAACACAUAUGCCUAACAUUUAAGACUGACAUCACAGAAGACAACAUGCCUUUCCUAAGACAAUUUG